RNAcentral lists this ribosomal RNA (512 nucleotides) under uncultured bacterium. RNAcentral's name for it is "bacterial SSU rRNA". It matches the Rfam family "Bacterial small subunit ribosomal RNA", at positions 34 to 518 of the family's 1533-position model. The record is from RNAcentral.
CGCUGGCGGCGUGCCUAAUACAUGCAAGUCGAACGGUCUUUUCUAUGGAAGCUUGCUUCCGCUGAAAAGAUAGUGGCGAACGGGUGAGUAACACGUGGGUAACCUGCCCAUAAGAGGGGGAUAACAUCCGGAAACGGGUGCUAAUACCGCAUAGUUUUCUUGAUCGCAUGAUCGGGAAAGGAAAGACGGCCUUUGUGCUGUCGCUUAUGGAUGGACCCGCGGCGUAUUAGUUAGUUGGUGAGGUAACGGCUCACCAAGACGAUGAUACGUAGCCGACCUGAGAGGGUGAUCGGCCACAUUGGGACUGAGACACGGCCCAAACUCCUACGGGAGGCAGCAGUAGGGAAUCUUCCGCAAUGGACGAAAGUCUGACGGAGCAACGCCGCGUGAGUGAAGAAAGGUUUUCGGAUCGUAAAACUCUGUUGUCAGAGAAGAACAAGUUGGAGAGUAACUGCUCCAGCCUUGACGGUAUCUGACCAGAAAGCCACGGCUAACUACGUGCCAGCCGCUGC